CCUACGGGUGGCAGCAGUGGGGGAUAUUGGACAAUGGGGGGAACCCUGAUCCAGCGACGCCGCGUGGGUGAAGAAGGUCUUCGGAUCGUAAAACCCUGUUGUUAGAGAAGAAAGUGCGUGAGAGUAACUGUUCACGUUUCGACGGUAUCUAACCAGAAAGCCACGGCUAACUACGUGACAGCAGCCGCGGUAAUGCGUAGGUGGCAAGCGUUAUCCGGAUUUAUUGGGCGUAAAGGGAACGCGGGCGGUCUUUUAAGUCUGAUGUGAAAGCUUGCGGCUUAACCGGAGUAGAGCAGUGGAAACUGGGAGACUUGAGUGCAGAAGAGGAAGGUGGAACUCGAUGUGUAGCGGUGAAAUGCGUAGAUAUAUGGAAGAACACCAGUGGCGAAAGCGGCACUCUGGUCUGUAACUGACGCUGAGGUACGAAAGCGUGGGUAGCAAACAGGAUUAGAUACCCUUGUAGUC
RNAcentral lists this ribosomal RNA (465 nucleotides) under uncultured bacterium. Its description in RNAcentral is "partial 16S ribosomal RNA". It matches the Rfam family "Bacterial small subunit ribosomal RNA", at positions 338 to 795 of the family's 1533-position model. The record is from RNAcentral.